UGGGGAAUCUUGGACAAUGGGCGCAAGCCUGAUCCAGCCAUGCCGCGUGAGUGAAGAAGGCCUUCGGGUUGUAAAGCUCUUUUUACCAGGGACGAUAAUGACGGUACCUGGAGAAUAAGCCCCGGCAAACUUCGUGCCAGCAGCCGCGGUAAUACGAAGGGGGCUAGCGUUGUUCGGAAUUACUGGGCGUAAAGCGCACGUAGGCGGAUUGUUAAGUCAGAGGUGAAAUCCCGGAGCUCAACUUCGGAACUGCCUUUGAUACUGGCAAUCUAGAGUCCGGAAGAGGUUAGUGGAAUUCCCAGUGUAGAGGUGAAAUUCGUAGAUAUUGGGAAGAACACCAGUGGCGAAGGCGGCUAACUGGUCCGGUACUGACGCUGAGGUGCGAAAGCGUGGGGAGCAAACAGGAUUAGAUACCCUAGUAGUCCCUGAGCGGGCUGGCAAGGCGCAU
RNAcentral lists this ribosomal RNA (448 nucleotides) under uncultured bacterium. Its description in RNAcentral is "bacterial SSU rRNA". It matches the Rfam family "Bacterial small subunit ribosomal RNA", at positions 355 to 825 of the family's 1533-position model. The record is from RNAcentral.